GAUGAACGCUAGCGGCAGGCCUAACACAUGCAAGUCGAGGGGUAUAGUUCUUCGGAACUAGAGACCGGCGCACGGGUGCGUAACGCGUAUGCAAUCUACCUUUUACAGGGGAAUAGCCCAGAGAAAUUUGGAUUAAUGCCCCAUAGUGUUAUAGAAUCGCAUGGUUUUAUAACUAAAGUUCCAACGGUAAAAGAUGAGCAUGCGUCCCAUUAGUUAGUUGGUAAGGUAACGGCUUACCAAGACAAUGAUGGGUAGGGGUCCUGAGAGGGAGAUCCCCCACACUGGUACUGAGACACGGACCAGACUCCUACGGGAGGCAGCAGUGAGGAAUAUUGGACAAUGGGCGCAAGCCUGAUCCAGCCAUGCCGCGUGCAGGAAGACGGUCCUAUGGAUUGUAAACUGCUUUUGUACAGGAAGAAACACUCCCUCGUGAGGGAGCUUUGACGGUACUGUAAGAAUAAGGAUCGGCUAACUCCGUGCCAGCAGCCG
Molecule: ribosomal RNA, 489 nt
Filed under: uncultured bacterium
Lineage: Bacteria
Description: bacterial SSU rRNA
Rfam family: Bacterial small subunit ribosomal RNA
Source: RNAcentral